AAAUUGAAGAGUUUGAUCAUGGCUCAGAUUGAACGCUGGCGGCAGGCCUAACACAUGCAAGUCGAGCGGAAACGAGUUAUCUGAACCUUCGGGGAACGAUAACGGCGUCGAGCGGCGGACGGGUGAGUAAUGCCUAGGAAAUUGCCCUGAUGUGGGGGAUAACCAUUGGAAACGAUGGCUAAUACCGCAUGAUGCCUACGGGCCAAAGAGGGGGACCUUCGGGCCUCUCGCGUCAGGAUAUGCCUAGGUGGGAUUAGCUAGUUGGUGAGGUAAGGGCUCACCAAGGCGACGAUCCCUAGCUGGUCUGAGAGGAUGAUCAGCCACACUGGAACUGAGACACGGUCCAGACUCCUACGGGAGGCAGCAGUGGGGAAUAUUGCACAAUGGGCGCAAGCCUGAUGCAGCCAUGCCGCGUGUGUGAAGAAGGCCUCGGUUGUAAAGCACUUUCAGUCGUGAGGAAGGUAGUGUAGUUAAUAGCUGCAUUAUUUGACGUUAGCGACAGAAGAAGCACCGGCUAACUCCGUGCCAGCAGCCGCGGUAAUACGGAGGGUGCGAGCGUUAAUCGGAAUUACUGGGCGUAAAGCGCAUGCAGGUGGUUUGUUAAGUCAGAUGUGAAAGCCCGGGGCUCAACCUCGGAAUUGCAUUUGAAACUGGCAGACUAGAGUACUGUAAAGGGGGUAGAAUUUCAGGUGUAGCGGUGAAAUGCGUAGAGAUCUGAAGGAAUACCGGUGGCGAAGGCGGCCCCCUGGACAGAUACUGACACUCAGAUGCGAAAGCGUGGGGAGCAAACAGGAUUAGAUACCCUGGUAGUCCACGCCGUAAACGAUGUCUACUUGGAGGUUGUGGCCUUGAGCCGUGGCUUUCGGAGCUAACGCGUUAAGUAGACCGCCUGGGGAGUACGGUCGCAAGAUUAAAACUCAAAUGAAUUGACGGGGGCCCGCACAAGCGGUGGAGCAUGUGGUUUAAUUCGAUGCAACGCGAAGAACCUUACCUACUCUUGACAUCCAGAGAACUUUCCAGAGAUGGAUUGGUGCCUUCGGGAACUCUGUGACAGGUGCUGCAUGGCUGUCGUCAGCUCGUGUUGUGAAAUGUUGGGUUAAGUCCCGCAACGAGCGCAACCCUUAUCCUUGUUUGCCAGCGAGUAAUGUCGGGAACUCCAGGGAGACUGCCGGUGAUAAACCGGAGGAAGGUGGGGACGACGUCAAGUCAUCAUGGCCCUUACGAGUAGGGCUACACACGUGCUACAAUGGCGCAUACAGAGGGCGGCCAACUUGCGAAAGUGAGCGAAUCCCAAAAAGUGCGUCGUAGUCCGGAUUGGAGUCUGCAACUCGACUCCAUGAAGUCGGAAUCGCUAGUAAUCGUGGAUCAGAAUGCCACGGUGAAUACGUUCCCGGGCCUUGUACACACCGCCCGUCACACCAUGGGAGUGGGCUGCAAAAGAAGUAGGUAGUUUAACCUUCGGGGGGACGCUUACCACUUUGUGGUUCAUGACUGGGGUGAAGUCGUAACAAGGUAGCGCUAGGGGAACCUGGCGCUGGAUCACCUCCUUAAACGAUGAU
Molecule: ribosomal RNA, 1559 nt
Filed under: Vibrio parahaemolyticus
Lineage: Bacteria; Pseudomonadati; Pseudomonadota; Gammaproteobacteria; Vibrionales; Vibrionaceae
Description: bacterial SSU rRNA
Rfam family: Bacterial small subunit ribosomal RNA
Source: RNAcentral